This 492-nucleotide ribosomal RNA is filed under the name uncultured bacterium. RNAcentral describes it as "partial 16S ribosomal RNA". It matches the Rfam family "Bacterial small subunit ribosomal RNA", at positions 28 to 507 of the family's 1533-position model. The record is from RNAcentral.
GAUGAACGCUAGCUACAGGCUUAACACAUGCAAGUCGAGGGGAAACGACAUCGAAAGCUUGCUUUUGAUGGGCGUCGACCGGCGCACGGGUGAGUAACGCGUAUCCAACCUGCCCAUCACUUGGGAAUAACCUUGCGAAAGUAAGACUAAUACCCAAUGAUAUCCCACGAAGGCAUCGGAAUGGGAUUAAAGAUUUAUCGGUGAUGGAUGGGGAUGCGUCUGAUUAGCUUGUUGGCGGGGUAACGGCCCACCAAGGCAACGAUCAGUAGGGGUUCUGAGAGGAAGGUCCCCCACAUUGGAACUGAGACACGGUCCAAACUCCUACGGGAGGCAGCAGUGAGGAAUAUUGGUCAAUGGGAGAGAGCCUGAACCAGCCAAGUAGCGUGCAGGAAGACGGCCCUAUGGGUUGUAAACUGCUUUUAUAAGGGAAUAAAGUGGGUCACGUGUGACUUUUUGCAUGUACCUUAUGAAUAAGGACCGGCUAAUUCCGUG